Molecule: ribosomal RNA, 1364 nt
Filed under: metagenome
Description: bacterial SSU rRNA
Rfam family: Bacterial small subunit ribosomal RNA
Source: RNAcentral
AGAGUUUGAUCCUGGCUCAGGACGAACGCUGGCGGCGCGCCUAACACAUGCAAGUCGAACGAGAGAGAGGGAGCUUGCUUCCUCAAUCGAGUGGCGAACGGGUGAGUAACGCGUGAGGAACCUGCCUCAAAGAGGGGGACAACAGUUGGAAACGACUGCUAAUACCGCAUAAGCCCACAGGUCGGCAUCGACCAGAGGGAAAAGGAGCAAUCCGCUUUGAGAUGGCCUCGCGUCCGAUUAGCUAGUUGGCGAGGUAACGGCCCACCAAGGCAACGAUCGGUAGCCGGACUGAGAGGUUGAACGGCCACAUUGGGACUGAGACACGGCCCAGACUCCUACGGGAGGCAGCAGUGGGGAAUAUUGCACAAUGGGGGAAACCCUGAUGCAGCGACGCCGCGUGGAGGAAGAAGGUCUUCGGAUUGUAACUCCUGUUGUUGAGGAAGACAAUGACGGUACUCAACAAGGAAGUGACGGCUAACUACGUGCCAGCAGCCGCGGUAAAACGUAGGUCACAAGCGUUGUCCGGAAUUACUGGGUGUAAAGGGAGCGCAGGCGGGAAGACAAGUUGGAAGUGAAAUCUAUGGGCUCAACCCAUAAACUGCUUUCAAAACUGUUUUUCUUGGGUAGUGCAGAGGUAGGCGGAAUUCCCGGUGUAGCGGUGGAAUGCGUAGAUAUCGGGAGGAACACCAGUGGCGAAGGCGGCCUACUGGGCACCAACUGACGCUGAGGCUCGAAAGUGUGGGUAGCAAACAGGAUUAGAUACCCUGGUAGUCCACACCGUAAACGAUGAUUACUAGGUGUUGGAGGAUUGACCCCUUCAGUGCCGCAGUUAACACAAUAAGUAAUCCACCUGGGGAGUACGACCGCAAGGUUGAAACUCAAAGGAAUUGACGGGGGCCCGCACAAGCAGUGGAGUAUGUGGUUUAAUUCGACGCAACGCGAAGAACCUUACCAAGUCUUGACAUCCUGCGACGCACAUAGAAAUAUGUGUUUCCUUCGGGACGCAGAGACAGGUGGUGCAUGGUUGUCGUCAGCUCGUGUCGUGAGAUGUUGGGUUAAGUCCCGCAACGAGCGCAACCCUUACUGUCAGUUACUACGCAAGAGGACUCUGGCAGGACUGCCGUUGACAAAACGGAGGAAGGUGGGGAUGACGUCAAAUCAUCAUGCCCUUUAUGACUUGGGCUACACACGUACUACAAUGGCGUUAAACAAAGAGAAGCAAGACCGCGAGGUGGAGCAAAACUCAGAAACAACGUCCCAGUUCGGACUGCAGGCUGCAACUCGCCUGCACGAAGUCGGAAUUGCUAGUAAUCGUGGAUCAGCAUGCCACGGUGAAUACGUUCCCGGGCCUUGUACACACCGCC